CCGCAUCCUCUGUUAGACCCUGGAACUGUUUCCUGUUGUUCUUUGGUUUACACUAGGAUGAAAAAGGGAAAAAAAAAUCCCGGUGCUAUCUGUCUUUGUGGCAGCCCAGAUUGAAUAAGGGAAUACAUGU
Erinaceus europaeus (western European hedgehog) is the source of this 130-nucleotide small nucleolar RNA. NCBI's taxonomy places the organism in Eukaryota, Metazoa, Chordata, Mammalia, Eulipotyphla, Erinaceidae. The record is from Ensembl.